Molecule: ribosomal RNA, 469 nt
Filed under: Acidimicrobiia bacterium
Lineage: Bacteria; Bacillati; Actinomycetota; Acidimicrobiia
Description: partial 23S ribosomal RNA
Rfam family: Bacterial large subunit ribosomal RNA
Source: RNAcentral
AAGGUACCCCGGGGAUAACAGGCUAAUCUUCCCCAAGAGUCCAUAUCGACGGGAAGGUUUGGCACCUCGAUGUCGGCUCAUCGCAUCCUGGGGCUGAAGCACGUCCCAAGGGUUGGGCUGUUCGCCCAUUAAAGCGGUACGCGAGCUGGGUUCAGAACGUCGUGAGACAGUUCGGUCCCUAUCCUCCGCAGCCGAAGGAGUGUUGAGGAAGGCUGUCCCUAGUACGAGAGGACCGGGACGGACGUAGCUCUGGUGUGUCUGUUGUCCUGCCAAGGGCAUUGCAGAUUAGCCACCUACGGAAAGGAUAACCGCUGAAAGCAUCUAAGUGGGAAACCUGUUCCAAGAUGAGCGCUCCCUUACGGUUAACGUAGUAAGGCCCGUGACGAGACCAUCACGUUGAUAGGCCAGAGGUGUACGCACGGCAACGUGUUGAGCCGACUGGUACUAAUCGGCCGAGGGCUUGGAUUGA